GCUCUUGGUCAAGUGGUUCCAGGUUAACAGAUUCGAAAUCUGUUACUCCUCGAUGGUGCAGGUUCGAAACCUGUCAGCA
Molecule: non-coding RNA, 79 nt
Organism: Suillus subalutaceus
Lineage: Eukaryota; Fungi; Basidiomycota; Agaricomycetes; Boletales; Suillaceae
Source: the annotation of a RefSeq genome assembly